Molecule: ribosomal RNA, 730 nt
Filed under: uncultured bacterium
Lineage: Bacteria
Description: bacterial SSU rRNA
Rfam family: Bacterial small subunit ribosomal RNA
Source: RNAcentral
AACAGGAUUAGAUACCCUGGUAGUCCACGCCGUAAACGAUGUCGACUUGGAGGUUGUUCCCUUGAGGAGUGGCUUCCGGAGCUAACGCGUUAAGUCGACCGCCUGGGGAGUACGGCCGCAAGGUUAAAACUCAAAUGAAUUGACGGGGGCCCGCACAAGCGGUGGAGCAUGUGGUUUAAUUCGAUGCAACGCGAAGAACCUUACCUACUCUUGACAUCCAGAGAACUUAGCAGAGAUGCUUUGGUGCCUUCGGGAGCUCUGAGACAGGUGCUGCAUGGCUGUCGUCAGCUCGUGUUGUGAAAUGUUGGGUUAAGUCCCGCAACGAGCGCAACCCUUAUCCUUUGUUGCCAGCGAUUCGGUCGGGAACUCGAAGGAGACUGCCGGUGAUAAACCGGAGGAAGGUGGGGAUGACGUCAAGUCAUCAUGGCCCUUACGAGUAGGGCUACACACGUGCUACAAUGGCGCAUACAAAGAGAAGCGACCUCGCGAGAGCAAGCGGACCUCAUAAAGUGCGUCGUAGUCCGGAUCGGAGUCUGCAACUCGACUCCGUGAAGUCGGAAUCGCUAGUAAUCGUGGAUCAGAAUGCCACGGUGAAUACGUUCCCGGGCCUUGUACACACCGCCCGUCACACCAUGGGAGUGGGUUGCAAAAGAAGUAGGUAGCUUAACCUUCGGGAGGGCGCUUACCACUUUGUGAUUCAUGACUGGGGUGAAGUCGUAACAAGGUAACC